ACCCGCACAAGCGGUGGAUGAUGUGGUUUAAUUCGAUGCAACGCGAAAACCUUACCCACCUUUGACAUGUACGGAACCCUUUAGAGAUAGAGGGUGCUCGAAAGAGAGCCGUAACACAGGUGCUGCAUGGCUGUCGUCAGCUCGUGUCGUGAGAUGUUGGGUUAAGUCCCGCAACGAGCGCAACCCUUGUCAUUAGUUGCUACAUUCAGUUGGGCACUCUAAUGAGACCGCCGGUGACAAGCCGGAGGAAGGUGGGGAUGACGUCAAGUCCUCAUGGCCCUUAUAGGUGGGGCUACACACGUCAUACAAUGGCUGGUACAAAGGGUUGCCAACCCGCGAGGGGGAGCCAAUCCCAUAAAGCCAGUCGUAGUCCGGAUCGUAGUCUGCAACUCGACUACGUGAAGUCGGAAUCGCUGGUAAUCGUGGAUCAGAAUGUCACGGUGAAUACGUUCCCGGGUCUU
Molecule: ribosomal RNA, 461 nt
Filed under: uncultured Rhodoferax sp.
Lineage: Bacteria; Pseudomonadati; Pseudomonadota; Betaproteobacteria; Burkholderiales; Comamonadaceae
Description: bacterial SSU rRNA
Rfam family: Bacterial small subunit ribosomal RNA
Source: RNAcentral